GCGAACGUUAGCGGCGCGCCUAACACAUGCAAGUCGCACGAGAAAGGGCUUCGGCCCCGGUACAGUGGCGCACGGGUGAGUAACACGUGGGUAACCUUCCUGGAAGUGGUGGAUAACCUGCCGAAAGGCGGGCUAAUACAGCAUGCGACGAAGGGGCUUCGGCUCUUUCGUGAAAGCAGGCCUCUGUUCACACGCUUGCGCUUCCAGAUGGGCCCGCGUCCCAUCAGCUAGUUGGUGAGGUAACGGCUCACCAAGGCUACGACGGGUAGCUGGUCUGAGAGGAUGAUCAGCCACACUGGAACUGAGACACGGUCCAGACUCCUACGGGAGGCAGCAGUGGGGAAUCUUGCGCAAUGGACGAAAGUCUGACGCAGCGACGCCGCGUGGGCGACGAAGGCCUUCGGGUUGUAAAGCCCUGUGGGGGGAGACGAACACACGGGAGUCAAACAGGCUCACGUGCUGACGGUAUCUCCUUAGCAAGCACCGGCUAACUCUGUGCCAGCAGCCGCGGUAA
Molecule: ribosomal RNA, 514 nt
Filed under: uncultured delta proteobacterium
Lineage: Bacteria; Deltaproteobacteria
Description: bacterial SSU rRNA
Rfam family: Bacterial small subunit ribosomal RNA
Source: RNAcentral